RNAcentral lists this transfer RNA (89 nucleotides) under Eubacteriales bacterium. RNAcentral describes it as "tRNA-Ser". It matches the Rfam family "tRNA". Rfam says of the family: Transfer RNA (tRNA) molecules are approximately 80 nucleotides in length. Their secondary structure includes four short double-helical elements and three loops (D, anti-codon, and T loops). The record is from RNAcentral. Lineage: Bacteria; Bacillati; Bacillota; Clostridia; Eubacteriales.
GGAGAGAUGGCCGAGUGGUUGAAGGCGCUGGUCUUGAAAACCAGUGAUGCUGCAAGGCACCGGGGGUUCGAAUCCCUCUCUCUCCGCCA